ACGGAAGGCAGCAGUGGGGAAUAUUGCACAAUGGGCGAAAGCCUGAUGCAGCGACGCCGCGUGAACGAAGAAGUAUUUCGGUAUGUAAAGUUCUAUCAGCAGGGAUGAUAAUGACGGUACCUGACUAAGAAGCACCGGCUAAAUACGUGCCAGCAGCCGCGGUAAUACGUAUGGUGCAAGCGUUAUCCGGAUUUACUGGGUGUAAAGGGAGCGCAGGCGGUACGGCAAGUCUGAUGUGAAAGCCCGGGGCUCAACCCCGGUACUGCAUUGGAAACUGUCGAACUAGAGUGUCGGAGGGGUAAGUGGAAUUCCUAGUGUAGCGGUGAAAUGCGUAGAUAUUAGGAGGAACACCAGUGGCGAAGGCGACUUACUGGACGAUAACUGACGCUGAGGCUCGAAAGCGUGGGGAGCAAACAGGAUUAGAUACCCUGGUA
RNAcentral lists this ribosomal RNA (434 nucleotides) under uncultured Roseburia sp. Its description in RNAcentral is "partial 16S ribosomal RNA". It matches the Rfam family "Bacterial small subunit ribosomal RNA", at positions 341 to 792 of the family's 1533-position model. The record is from RNAcentral. Lineage: Bacteria; Bacillati; Bacillota; Clostridia; Lachnospirales; Lachnospiraceae.